CCUACGGGAGGCAGCAGUGGGGAAUAUUGGGCAAUGGAGGAAACUCUGACCCAGCAACGCCGCGUGCAUGAUGAAGGUCCUCGGAUUGUAAAGGUCUUUUCUAAGGGAAGAAGAAAGUGACGGUACCUUAGGAAUAAGCCUCGGCUAACUACGUGCAGGCAGCCGCGGUAAUACGUAGGAGGCGGGCGUUAUCCGGAAUGACUGGGCGUAAGGGGUGCGUAGGUGGUUUGGCAAGUUAGUAGCGUAACUCCGAGGUUGAACCUUGGAACUUCUUCUAAAACUGUUGGACUUGAGUGCAGGAGCGGCAGGCGGAAUGUCUGGUGUAGCGGUGAAAUGCGUAGAUAUCAUGAAGAACACCGAUGGCGAAGGCAGGUUGCCAGACUGUAACUGACGCUGAGGCACGAAAGCGUGGGGAGCAAACAGGAUUAGAUACCCCUGUAGUC
RNAcentral lists this ribosomal RNA (443 nucleotides) under uncultured bacterium. Its description in RNAcentral is "partial 16S ribosomal RNA". It matches the Rfam family "Bacterial small subunit ribosomal RNA", at positions 338 to 795 of the family's 1533-position model. The record is from RNAcentral.